AAAGAGUUAAAUAAUUAAUAAAUUUAUUGUUGUAAAAAUAUUUUAAAUAAUUAUUUUGAAAUGAAAUGUUAUUCGUUUUUAAAUAUAUCUAGUUUUUUUAGAAAAAAAUUUAAUUUUAAAUUUAAAAACUAAAUUGAAUUUAUUAACUAAUUCAAUUUAUUUUUAAAUUUUAUAUUUUAAGGGAUAAGCUUUAAAUUAAAUUUUUAUAAGAAUUUAUUAAAUAUAAUAAAAUUUAUAUAAUUUAUAUUAUUAAUAAAUUUUAGUUUGUUAUAAAUAAUUUUAUUAAUAAAAAAAAUUUAAUUGGUUAUUUUUAAUUAUUUAUAAAAAAAUUAUUUUAAAUUAUAGUUAAAUUAGUUAUAAUGAUAAAAUUAGUAUAUUAUUUAUUUGUAAAUAUAAUAAUUUAUUAUAUAUUAAAUUAAUUUAUUAAAAGGAAUUCGGCAAAUAUUUAUAUUCACUUGGUUUAACAAAAACAUGUCUUUUUGUUUUAAUAUAAAGUCUAAUCUGCCCACUGAUUUUAAAUUAAAGGGCUGCAGUAUAUUGACUGUACAAAGGUAGCAUAAUCAUUAGUCCCUUAAUUGGUGACUUGUAUGAAAGAUUGGAUGAAAUAUAUACCGGCUCCUAAUAAAUUUAUUGAAUUUAUUUUUUAUUUAAAAAGUUAAAUAUUUUUAAAAAGACGAGAAGACCCUUUAGAGUUUAAUAAUUAAUUUUUUUUUAUUUAAUUUAUAAAUUUAAUAAAUUUUAUAAUUUUAAUUAUUUUGUUGGGGUGACAAAAAAAUAAAAUUAACUUUUUUUAAAAAAAUAAUCAUAAAUAAGUGUUUUAUUGAUCCAAUUAAUAUUGAUUAUAAGAUUAAAUUACCUAAGGGAUAACAGCGUAAUUUUUUUUUUUAGUUCAAAUAAAAAAAAGAGUUUGCGACCUCGAUGUUGGAUUAAGAUAAAAUUUAAAUGCAAAAGUUUAAAAUUUUUG
RNAcentral lists this ribosomal RNA (964 nucleotides) under Geometra ussuriensis. Its description in RNAcentral is "partial 16S rRNA". The record is from RNAcentral. Lineage: Eukaryota; Metazoa; Arthropoda; Insecta; Lepidoptera; Geometridae.